GAUGAACGCUGGCGGCGUGCCUAAUACAUGCAAGUCGAGCGAACGGACGAGAAGCUUGCUUCUCUGAUGUUAGCGGCGGACGGGUGAGUAACACGUGGAUAACCUACCUAUAAGUCUGGGAAAACUUCGGGAAACGGGAGCUAAUACCGUAUAAUAUUUUGAACCGCAUGGUUCAAAAGUGAAAGACGGUCUUGCUGUCACGUAUAGAUGGAUCCGCGCUGCAUUAGCUAGUUGGUAAGGUAAAGGCUUACCAAGGCAACGAUGCGUAACCGACGUGAGAGGGGGAUCGGCCGCACGGGAGGUGGAACAGGGUCCAGACUCCUACGGGAGGGAGCAGUAGGGAAUCUGCGGCAAUGGGCGAAAGCCUGACGGAGCAGCGGCGCGUGAGUGAUGAAAGUGUUCGGAGCGUGAAACUCUGUUAUUAGGGAAGAACAUAUGUGGAAGGAACUGUGGAGAGAUUGACGGUACCUAAUCAAAAAGCCACGGCUAACUACGUG
This 497-nucleotide ribosomal RNA is filed under the name uncultured bacterium. Its description in RNAcentral is "partial 16S ribosomal RNA". It matches the Rfam family "Bacterial small subunit ribosomal RNA", at positions 28 to 507 of the family's 1533-position model. The record is from RNAcentral.